CUGGAAAGAGUGGCCAUAGAAGGUGAUAGCCCUGUAUCUGAAAGGGCCAUUCCAGUGAAGACGAGUAGGGCGGGGCACGUGAAACCCUGUCUGAACAUGGGGGGACCAUCCUCCAAGGCUAAAUACUACUGACCGACCGAUAGUGAACCAGUACCGUGAGGGAAAGGCGAAAAGAACCCCGGAGAGGGGAGUGAAAUAGAACCUGAAACCGUGUGCGUACAAGCAGUAGGAGCUCCGCAAGGAGUGACUGCGUACCUUUUGUAUAAUGGGUCAGCGACUUAC
This 282-nucleotide ribosomal RNA is filed under the name Mesorhizobium sp. RNAcentral's name for it is "partial 23S ribosomal RNA". It matches the Rfam family "Bacterial large subunit ribosomal RNA", at positions 342 to 631 of the family's 2925-position model. The record is from RNAcentral. Lineage: Bacteria; Pseudomonadati; Pseudomonadota; Alphaproteobacteria; Hyphomicrobiales; Phyllobacteriaceae.